Molecule: long non-coding RNA, 699 nt
Organism: Micropterus salmoides (largemouth bass)
Lineage: Eukaryota; Metazoa; Chordata; Actinopteri; Centrarchiformes; Centrarchidae
Exons: 2
Source: RefSeq, a predicted model, not a curated record
CUUGUUUUUGAGAGCUCAGUUGUAGCACUGUAUCAACUCCUUCAUUAUAAAUCUCUUUCUUCAGAAGGUGAGUCGGAGCGAUCGAAGUUGUGAUCCUGAAGGACUUGACGCUCUGACAGAUGAACACCCAGACUCGUAUCACUGAAGUUUUUUCUGUGACAGUCCAACCAACAGUCCAGUCCUUCAGUUAUGACCUGCGCUCACGACAACGAGCGUAAUGAGCAGCACGAGUGCUCUGAAGAUGUGUGUUGCUCUCAGACUACAGACAGGCUUCCCUGCCUUAUUAGUGGAGGUUGUUGAAGCUGCAUGCAGCCGGAAAGGAGAACAGCUGCGGUGACCUUUAACUCCACCAGUGAGAUUACAUCUAAACCUCUACAUCCCGCCUCUCAGAAAGUCUCCAGCACCACUCGCAGCAGAUCAUACUGAUGCUCAUAAAUGGUGCUUCGUCAAGUUUGCUGCUGCUGUGAUAGUGAUACGUCUGACAAUCAAUCUUUUUGCUGUUUGCCGCCUUUUUAUUUUUCAGUUUAACACGAGGAUUUUAAAGUCUGCCCUCCUUCUGACAUCAUUUAUUUACCCUGUUUGUGUUUACAUGUUGGCAAGUUGGAGCUGAAUCAGCUGUUAGCAGUGUACUCUUGGAUGGAGAGAUUACUGUCACUGUUUUACUUUGACACUGAAGAAAACAUGAAGAUUCUCAGGCAG